Molecule: unclassified non-coding RNA, 357 nt
Filed under: soil metagenome
Description: partial contains 5.8S ribosomal RNA, internal transcribed spacer 2, and large subunit ribosomal RNA
Rfam family: 5.8S ribosomal RNA (bases 1-120)
Source: RNAcentral
GAUGAAGAACGUAGCGAAAUGCGAUAAGUAAUGUGAAUUGCAGAAUUCAGUGAAUCAUCGAAUCUUUGAACGCACAUUGCGCCCGUCAGUAUUCUGGCGGGCAUGCCUGUUCGAGCGUCAUUACGCCCCUCAAGUCCCCUGUGGACUUGGUGUUGGGGAUCGGCGAGGCUGGUUUUCCAGCACAGCCGUCCCUUAAAUUAAUUGGCGGUCUCGCCGUGGCCCUCCUCUGCGCAGUAGUAAAACACCCGCAACAGGAGCCCGGCGCGGUCCACUGCCGUAAAACCCCCAACUUUUUAUAGUUGACCUCGAAUCAGGUAGGACUACCCGCUGAACUUAAGCAUAUCAAUAAGCGGAGGA